This 696-nucleotide ribosomal RNA is filed under the name uncultured bacterium. RNAcentral describes it as "bacterial SSU rRNA". It matches the Rfam family "Bacterial small subunit ribosomal RNA", at positions 13 to 695 of the family's 1533-position model. The record is from RNAcentral.
UUGAUUAUGGCUCAGUAUUGAACGCUGGCGGCAGGCCUAACACAUGCAAGUCGAGCGGUAACAGGAAGGAAGCUUGCUUUCUUUGCUGACGAGCGGCGGACGGGUGAGUAAUGCCUGGGAAUAUGCCUUAGUGUGGGGGAUAACUAUUGGAAACGAUAGCUAAUACCGCAUAACGUCUUCGGACCAAAGAGGGGGACCUUCGGGCCUCUCGCGCUAAGAUUAGCCCAGGUGGGAUUAGCUAGUUGGUGAGGUAAAGGCUCACCAAGGCAACGAUCCCUAGCUGGUCUGAGAGGAUGAUCAGCCACACUGGAACUGAGACACGGUCCAGACUCCUACGGGAGGCAGCAGUGGGGAAUAUUGCACAAUGGGGGAAACCCUGAUGCAGCCAUGCCGCGUGUAUGAAGAAGGCCUUCGGGUUGUAAAGUACUUUCAGUCGUGAGGAAGAUUAUACAGUUAAUAGCUGUGUGAUUUGACGUUAGCGACAGAAGAAGCACCGGCUAACUCCGUGCCAGCAGCCGCGGUAAUACGGAGGGUGCGAGCGUUAAUCGGAAUUACUGGGCGUAAAGCGCAUGCAGGCGGUCUGUUAAGCAAGAUGUGAAAGCCCGGGGCUCAACCUCGGAACCGCAUUUUGAACUGGCAGACUAGAGUCUUGUAGAGGGGGGUAGAAUUUCACGUGUAGCGGUGAAAUGCGUAGAG